Molecule: unclassified non-coding RNA, 241 nt
Filed under: Hevea brasiliensis (rubber tree)
Lineage: Eukaryota; Viridiplantae; Streptophyta; Magnoliopsida; Malpighiales; Euphorbiaceae
Source: RNAcentral
CAAAGAUAUUGAUGCCAGUACAGUGCAAGAAUCAGUAAAUCACUGGCUGUCAAAGACACACAACUUUUGGAAUGAAGUCACUUCACCACUGGUAAAAACUGUAAAUGAUAAAAGAACCAGUUUUCAUGAUGAUACGCAAGAUACGGAGGAAGUAUUCAUGGCUGAACAGACUGUCGAUAGCCAAACACCGAAUGGCGAUCUUUCUGUAGCUACCAUUCUUUCGAUUGAUCAAUUUAGCAGG